Molecule: transfer RNA, 66 nt
Filed under: Myodermum sp. MYO01
Lineage: Eukaryota; Metazoa; Arthropoda; Insecta; Coleoptera; Scarabaeidae
Description: tRNA-Pro
Source: RNAcentral
CAGAGAGUAGUUUAUUUAAAACAUCAGUUUUGGAGAUUGAAGAUAGGGAGUAGUUCUUUUCUCUGA